GAUAAACGCUGGCGGCGUGCAUGAGACAUGCAAGUCGAACGGACGAUCGAGGCUUGCUUCGAUCGUUAGUGGCGGACGGCUGAGUAACGCGUAGGUGACCUGCCCCGAAGUGGGGAAUAACUGCCCGAAAGGGUGGCUAAUACCGCAUGUGGUGGUGUGUUCAAUCACACCAGUAAAGCCGCAAGGCGCUUCGGGAGGGGCCUGCGUCCGAUUAGCUCGUUGGUGGGGAACGGCUCACCAAGGCGACGAUCGGUAGGUGGUCUGAGAGGACGAUCACCCAGACUGGGACUGAGACACGGCCCAGACUCCUACGGGAGGCAGCAGUCGGGAAUUUUGCGCAAUGG
RNAcentral lists this ribosomal RNA (344 nucleotides) under uncultured bacterium. RNAcentral describes it as "bacterial SSU rRNA". It matches the Rfam family "Bacterial small subunit ribosomal RNA", at positions 28 to 374 of the family's 1533-position model. The record is from RNAcentral.